RNAcentral lists this long non-coding RNA (444 nucleotides) under Homo sapiens (human). RNAcentral describes it as "small nucleolar RNA host gene 4". Lineage: Eukaryota; Metazoa; Chordata; Mammalia; Primates; Hominidae. The record is from RNAcentral.
UUUCCCCUCCGGCCUCUGCCGGUGCUGCUGCGCCCUGCGGAGCUCCGAACACGUGCGCGUGAGGAGUCCCAUAGAGCCUGACUCCGAGAGCCUCGAUCUCCCAGGGCCAGAGGCAGGGACUUUGGAAGAGAGGCUGGCUGUGGCAGAUGCAACUGCAGGAUGACUUGAAAGUAGGGCAUCCUUCACCCAUCUGAAGGGAGGAAAUAGUGGCAGGUGACAGUCUGCAUGUGCAGUUUUCAGAUGCCUUCACCUGAAUGACAUCUACCUCCAUCAGGACCCCAGAUGUCUGACAGCCCUGUGUGACACCAAGAUAAGUAACAAUCUGGCUGCUGACUACCCUAUUGGACAACUCCAAUAUUAGAGAACAUUUCCACCAAUUCAGAAAGUUUAUUAUGCACUGCUGUUCUAGAGCAGGGAUCAGCAAACUUGCUGUAAAGAGCCAGG